AGCGAACGCUGGCGGCAGGCCUAACACAUGCAAGUCGAACGAACUCUUCGGAGUUAGUGGCGGACGGGUGAGAAACACGUGGGAACGUGCCUUUAGGUUCGGAAUAACUCAGGGAAACUUGUGCUAAUACCGAAUGUGCCCUUCGGGGGAAAGAUUUAUCGCCUUUAGAGCGGCCCGCGUCUGAUUAGCUAGUUGGUGAGGUAAAGGCUCACCAAGGCGACGAUCAGUAGCUGGUCUGAGAGGAUGAUCAGCCACAUUGGGACUGAGACACGGCCCAAACUCCUACGGGAGGCAGCAGUGGGGAAUCUUGCGCAAUGGGCGAAAGCCUGACGCAGCCAUGCCGCGUGAAUGAUGAAGGUCUUAGGAUUGUAAAAUUCUUUCACCGGGGACGAUAAUGACGGUACCCGGAGAAGAAGCCCCGGCUAACUUCGUG
RNAcentral lists this ribosomal RNA (433 nucleotides) under uncultured bacterium. Its description in RNAcentral is "partial 16S ribosomal RNA". It matches the Rfam family "Bacterial small subunit ribosomal RNA", at positions 29 to 507 of the family's 1533-position model. The record is from RNAcentral.